This 255-nucleotide ribosomal RNA is filed under the name uncultured bacterium. RNAcentral's name for it is "partial 16S ribosomal RNA". It matches the Rfam family "Bacterial small subunit ribosomal RNA", at positions 524 to 777 of the family's 1533-position model. The record is from RNAcentral.
UACGUAGGGUCCGAGCGUUAAUCGGAAUUACUGGGCGUAAAGCGUGCGCAGGCGGUUUUGUAAGCCAGAUGUGAAAGCCCCGGGCUCAACCUGGGAACUGCAUUUGGGACUGCAAGGCUGGAGUACGGCAGAGGGAGGUGGAAUUCCACGGUGUAGCAGUGAAAUGCGCAGAUAUCAGGAAGAACACCCGUGGCUAAGGCGGCUCUCUAGUACGGUACUGACGCUGAGACGCGAAAGCGUGGGGAGCGAACAGGG